Molecule: non-coding RNA, 144 nt
Organism: Gossypium arboreum
Lineage: Eukaryota; Viridiplantae; Streptophyta; Magnoliopsida; Malvales; Malvaceae
Source: Rfam
UUUUAAAAAAUUAUCUGUUUCUACUAUUAAAAAUUGGCAUAGCUGACAGAAUAAUUAAACAGUGACACAUAACAUGCCACGUAUAUCUCAUGCCGAUAUACAAUGACCAGUUUUUAACAGUAAAAAUAGAUGAAACUUUUAAUA